GAUGAACGCUGGCGGCGUGCCUAAUGCAUGCAAGUCGAGCGAACAGACGAGGAGCUUGCUCCUCUGACGUUAGCGGCGGACGGGUGAGUAACACGUGGAUAACCUACCUAUAAGACUGGGAUAACUUCGGGAAACCGGAGCUAAUACCGGAUAAUAUAUUGAACCGCAUGGUUCAAUAGUGAAAGACGGUUUUGCUGUCACUUAUAGAUGGAUCCGCGCCGCAUUAGCUAGUUGGUAAGGCAACGGCUUACCAAGGCAACGAUGCGUAGCCGACCUGAGAGGGUGAUCGGCCACACUGGAACUGAGACACGGUCCAGACUCCUGCGGGAGGCAGCAGUAGGGAAUCUGCCGCAAUGGGCGAAAGCCUGACGGAGCAACGCCGCGUGAAUGAUGAAGGUCUUCGGAUCGUAAAACUCUGUUAUUAGGGAAGAACAAAUGUGUAAGUAACUAUGCACGUCUUGACGGUACCUAAUCAGAAAGCCACGGCUAACUACGUG
Molecule: ribosomal RNA, 497 nt
Filed under: uncultured bacterium
Lineage: Bacteria
Description: partial 16S ribosomal RNA
Rfam family: Bacterial small subunit ribosomal RNA
Source: RNAcentral